This 465-nucleotide ribosomal RNA is filed under the name uncultured bacterium. Its description in RNAcentral is "partial 16S ribosomal RNA". It matches the Rfam family "Bacterial small subunit ribosomal RNA", at positions 338 to 795 of the family's 1533-position model. The record is from RNAcentral.
CCUACGGGAGGCAGCAGUGGGGAAUAUUGCGCAAUGGGCGCAAGCCUGACGCAGCGACGCCGCGUGAGGGAUGAAGGUCUUCGGAUCGUAAACCUCUGUCGGCAGGGAAGAACGGUCACUGUACUAAUCAGCAGUGCAUUGACGGUACCUACAAAGAAAGCACCGGCUAACUCCGUGCCAGCAGCCGCGGUAAUACGGAGGGUGCGAGCGUUAAUCGGAAUUUCUGGGCGUAAAGCGCUCGUAGGCGGUAUGUCAAGUCAAGGGUGAAAUCCCCGGGCUCAACCUGGGAACUGCAUUGGAAACUGGCAAACUGGAGUGUGUGAGAGGAUAGUGGAAUUCCAGGUGUAGGAGUGAAAUGCGUAGAUAUGUGGAGGAACAUCAGUGGCGAAGGCGACUAUCUGGCACAUAACUGACGCUGAGGCGCGAAAGCGUGGGUAGCAAACAGGAUUAGAUACCCUUGUAGUC